UUACACAUGCAGUCGAACGCCCGCGAGGGGAGUGGCAGACGGGUGAGUAACGCGUGGGAACAUACCCUUCGGUUCGGAACAACUCCGGGAAACUGGAGCUAAUACCGGAUACGUGCGAGAAGCAGAAAGAUUGCAUCGCCGGAGUGAAUGGCCCGCGUCCGAUUAGCUUGUUUGGCGGGGUAACGUGCCCACCAAGGCAUCGAUCGGUAGCUGGUCUGAGAGUGAUGGCCAGCCACAUUGGGACUGAGACACGGCCAAACUCCUACGGGAGUGCUAGCAGUGGGGAAUAUCUGGACAAUGGUGCGCAACCCCUGAUCCAGCCAAUGCCUGCGUGAGUGAUGACGGCCUUAGGGUUUGUAAAGCUCUAUUCGCGCACGACGAUAAUGACGGUCGUGCGAGAAGGAAGCCCCUGGCUAACUUCGUGACAGC
RNAcentral lists this ribosomal RNA (429 nucleotides) under uncultured bacterium. Its description in RNAcentral is "bacterial SSU rRNA". It matches the Rfam family "Bacterial small subunit ribosomal RNA", at positions 49 to 512 of the family's 1533-position model. The record is from RNAcentral.